Molecule: ribosomal RNA, 553 nt
Filed under: uncultured bacterium
Lineage: Bacteria
Description: partial 16S ribosomal RNA
Rfam family: Bacterial small subunit ribosomal RNA
Source: RNAcentral
UGGGGAAUUUUGGACAAUGGGCGAAAGCCUGAUCCAGCAAUGCCGCGUGUGUGAAGAAGGCCUUCGGGUUGUAAAGCACUUUUGUCCGGAAAGAAAUCCUUGGCUCUAAUACAGUCGGGGGAUGACGGUACCGGAAGAAUAAGCACCGGCUAACUACGUGCCAGCAGCCGCGGUAAUACGUAGGGUGCAAGCGUUAAUCGGAAUUACUGGGCGUAAAGCGUGCGCAGGCGGUUUGCUAAGACCGAUGUGAAAUCCCCGGGCUCAACCUGGGAACUGCAUUGGUGACUGGCAGGCUAGAGUAUGGCAGAGGGGGGUAGAAUUCCACGUGUAGCAGUGAAAUGCGUAGAGAUGUGGAGGAAUACCGAUGGCGAAGGCAGCCCCCUGGGCCAAUACUGACGCUCAUGCACGAAAGCGUGGGGAGCAAACAGGAUUAGAUACCCUGGUAGUCCACGCCCUAAACGAUGUCAACUAGUUGUUGGGAUUCAUUCUUAAUAACGUGCUAACGCGUGAAGUUGACCGCCUGGGGAGUACGGUCGCAAGAUUAAAACUCAAA